This 333-nucleotide ribosomal RNA is filed under the name Craterilacuibacter sinensis. Its description in RNAcentral is "Neisseriaceae bacterium B2N2-7 partial 23S ribosomal RNA". It matches the Rfam family "Bacterial large subunit ribosomal RNA", at positions 2308 to 2640 of the family's 2925-position model. Lineage: Bacteria; Pseudomonadati; Pseudomonadota; Betaproteobacteria; Neisseriales; Neisseriaceae. The record is from RNAcentral.
GUUCGAAGGUUACCUAGGUACGGUCGGAAAUCGUGCUGAUAGUGCAAUGGCAAAAGGUAGCUUAACUGCGAGACCGACACGUCGAGCAGGUGCGAAAGCAGGACAUAGUGAUCCGGUGGUUCUGAAUGGAAGGGCCAUCGCUCAACGGAUAAAAGGUACUCCGGGGAUAACAGGCUGAUACCGCCCAAGAGUUCAUAUCGACGGCGGUGUUUGGCACCUCGAUGUCGGCUCAUCACAUCCUGGGGCUGAAGUAGGUCCCAAGGGUAUGGCUGUUCGCCAUUUAAAGUGGUACGCGAGCUGGGUUUAGAACGUCGUGAGACAGUUCGGUCCCUA